RNAcentral lists this ribosomal RNA (163 nucleotides) under uncultured bacterium. RNAcentral's name for it is "partial 16S ribosomal RNA". It matches the Rfam family "Bacterial small subunit ribosomal RNA", at positions 355 to 509 of the family's 1533-position model. The record is from RNAcentral.
UGGGGAAUAUUGGACAAUGGGCGAAAGCCUGAUCCAGCCAUGCCGCGUGUGUGAAGAAGGUCUUCGGAUUGUAAAGCACUUUAAGUUGGGAGGAAGGGCUGUCGGCUAAUACCCUGCAGUUUUGACGUUACCAACAGAAUAAAGCACCGGCUAACUUCGUGCC